This 26-nucleotide non-coding RNA is filed under the name Rattus norvegicus (Norway rat). Lineage: Eukaryota; Metazoa; Chordata; Mammalia; Rodentia; Muridae. The record is from RNAcentral.
UAAUACACGUGUCUUCUGAUCACUGC